AAGGGAGACCUAAUUCGGGUAUGGGACGAAAAAAAAGUAGUCGCUACCAAGAAUCAAUCCCAAAAGGUCGGAGCGAGGCAAGAUUGGCUUUCAAACUAGGUUCUGGGUUCACACAAGACCUGAAUCAGGAACAAGGGCUAUUAGCUCAGGUGGUUAGAGCGCACCCCUGAUAAGGGUGAGGUCCCUGGUUCGAGUCCAGGAUGGCCCACCUGCACAGGUGGAAAAAAGAAAAGAAGCUCCGAAUCAGCACCUUAUCUUACUUAUAUAGUAAGAGAGAAUGCUGGCUCUGAGUUCAGAGUCCAGAGGAACCUUGAAAACUGCAUAGAGCUAGGUGAAAAAGCCAAAAAAGAAGACCGCAA
This 359-nucleotide transfer RNA is filed under the name Microcystis sp. AICB 620. RNAcentral's name for it is "16S-23S ribosomal RNA intergenic spacer". The stretch from base 135 to 208 matches the Rfam family "tRNA". Lineage: Bacteria; Bacillati; Cyanobacteriota; Cyanophyceae; Chroococcales; Microcystaceae. The record is from RNAcentral. RNAcentral also lists the same sequence under 1 other name.